GAUGAACGCUGGCGGCGUGCCUAAUACAUGCAAGUCGAGCGAACGGACGAGAAGCUUGCUUCUCUGAUGUUAGCGGCGGACGGGUGAGUAACACGUGGAUAACCUACCUAUAAGACUGGGAUAACUUCGGGAAACCGGAGCUAAUCCGGGAUAAAUUUUUGAACGCCAGGGUUCAAAAGUGAAGGAGGGUUUUGCUUUACCUUUAAGAUGAUUCCCGGCUGCAUUAGCUAGUUGGUAAGGUAACGGCUUCCCAAGGCAACGAUGAAUAGCCGACCUGAGAGGGUGAUCGGCCACACUGGAACUGAGACACGGUCCAGACUCCUACGGGAGGCAGCAGUAGGGAAUCUUCCGCAAUGGGCGAAAGCCUGACGGAGCAACGCCGCGUGAGUGAUGAAGGUCUUCGGAUCGUAAAACUCUGUUAUUAGGGAAGAACAUAUGUGUAAGUAACUGUGCACAUCUUGACGGUACCUAAUCAGAAAGCCACGGCUAACUACGUG
RNAcentral lists this ribosomal RNA (497 nucleotides) under uncultured bacterium. Its description in RNAcentral is "partial 16S ribosomal RNA". It matches the Rfam family "Bacterial small subunit ribosomal RNA", at positions 28 to 507 of the family's 1533-position model. The record is from RNAcentral.